Molecule: ribosomal RNA, 253 nt
Filed under: uncultured bacterium
Lineage: Bacteria
Description: partial 16S ribosomal RNA
Rfam family: Bacterial small subunit ribosomal RNA
Source: RNAcentral
UACGGAGGGUGCAAGCGUUAUCCGGAUUCACUGGGUUUAAAGGGUGCGUAGGCGGAUAGGUAAGUCCGUGGUGAAAUCUCCCGACUUAAUCGGGAAACUGCCAUGGAUACUAUCUAUCUUGAAUGCCGUGGAGGUUAGCGGAAUAUGUCAUGUAGCGGUGAAAUGCUUAGAUAUGACAUAGAACACCAAUUGCGAAGGCAGCUGGCUACACAAAUAUUGACACUGAGGCACGAAAGCGUGGGGAUCAAACAGG